GACGAACGCUGGCGGCGUGCUUAACACAUGCAAGUCGAGCGGUAAGGCCCUUCGGGGUACACGAGCGGCGAACGGGUGAGUAACACGUGAGCAACCUGCCCCUGACUCCGGGAUAAGCGGUGGAAACGCCGUCUAAUACCGGAUACGACCCGCCACCUCAUGGUGGAGGGUGGAAAGUUUUUCGGUCAGGGAUGGGCUCGCGGCCUAUCAGCUUGUUGGUGGGGUAACGGCCUACCAAGGCGAUUACGGGUAGCCGGCCUGAGAGGGCGACCGGCCACACUGGGACUGAGACACGGCCCAGACUCCUGCGGGAGGCAGCAGUGGGGAAUAUUGCGCAAUGGGCGAAAGCCUGACGCAGCGACGCCGCGUGGGGGAUGACGGCCUUCGGGUUGUAAACCUCUUUUACCACCAACGCAGGCUCGAAGUUCUCUUCGGGUUGACGGUAGGUGGGGAAUAAGGACCGGCUAACUACGUGCCAGCAGCCGCGGUAAUACGUAGGGUCCGAGCGUUGUCCGGAAUUAUUGGGCGUAAAGAGCUCGUAGGCGGCGUGUCGCGUCUGCUGUGAAAGACCGGGGCUUAACUCCGGUUCUGCAGUGGAUACGGGCAUGCUAGAGGUAGGUAGGGGAGACUGGAAUUCCUGGUGUAGCGGU
Molecule: ribosomal RNA, 650 nt
Filed under: Nocardiopsis sp. YIM KMY47-1
Lineage: Bacteria; Bacillati; Actinomycetota; Actinomycetes; Streptosporangiales; Nocardiopsidaceae
Description: bacterial SSU rRNA
Rfam family: Bacterial small subunit ribosomal RNA
Source: RNAcentral